Molecule: ribosomal RNA, 473 nt
Filed under: uncultured bacterium
Lineage: Bacteria
Description: SSU rRNA
Rfam family: Bacterial small subunit ribosomal RNA
Source: RNAcentral
AGGAUGAACGCUGGCGGCGUGCCUAACACAUGCAAGUCGAACGUCCUGUCUCGCAAGAGGCAGGGAGUGGCGGACGGGUGAGUACCACGUGGGUCAUCUACCGUGAGGUGAGGAAUACCGGCGAGAAAUCGCCGACAAGACCGCAUAGCCUCGGUGCAAGUCGAGGAAAGCUCUCUCGAGAGAGGGAGCGCCACACGAGGAGCCUGCGCCCGAUUAGCUAGCUGGUGGAGUAAUGGUUCACCAGGGCGACGAUCGGUAGCUGGUCUGAGAGGACGAUCAGCCACACUGGGAUUGAGAACGGCCCAGACUCCUACGGGGGGCAGCAGUGAGGAAUUUUCGUCAAUGGGGCAACCCUGAACGAGCAACGCCGCGUGCAGGAAGAAGGUUUUCGGAUCGUAAACUGCUUUUCUCGGGAAGAGAACGGACGGUACCCGAGGAAUCAGCCCCGGCUAACUACGUGCCAGCAGCCGCGU